This 406-nucleotide ribosomal RNA is filed under the name uncultured bacterium. RNAcentral describes it as "partial 16S ribosomal RNA". It matches the Rfam family "Bacterial small subunit ribosomal RNA", at positions 30 to 526 of the family's 1533-position model. The record is from RNAcentral.
AUUGAACGCUGGCGGCAGGCCUAACACAUGCAAGUCGAGCGAGCGGCGGACGGGUGAGGAAUGUAUGGGGAUCUGCCUGAACGAGGGGGAUAACUACUGGAAACGGUCGCUAAUACCGCAUACCAUCAGAUGAACCCAUAUGGGAUUAGCUAGUAGGUGAGGUAACGGCUCACCUAGGCGACGAUCUCUAGCUGGUCUGAGAGGAUGAUCAGCCACACUGGGACUGAGACACGUCCCAGACUCCUACGGGAGGCAGCAGUGGGGAAUAGUGCACAAUGGGCGCAAGCCUGAUGCAGCCAUGCCGCGUGUAUGAAGAAGGCCUUCGGGUUGUAAAGUACUUUCAGUGGGGAGGCGUUACCGGCAGAAGAAGCACCGGCUAACUCCGUGCCAGCAGCCGCGGUAAUAC